GUCUGCGCCCCUUUGGGGGACAUCGGCUCUGACCAGUGAGAUGACAGCGGCCGUCGCGGCUGCGGGGGGCGAGUGGUCGUGUCCAUGCUCAUUUCCUCCGUAACCUUUAAACUCUCGCUGGAAGCCGCGGCGGCGGCUGGUCACGUGAGGCGAGCCCUGGGCUGCUGGGGAAGAAUUUCCUCCGCGGGGAGCUGGGACGGGGAAGGCGGCCAGGCGAGGGACUGCCCCGCGCGGGGGAACUGGGAACCUGGGAGGGCUGGGCGAGAGCGCCGAGGCCCGGGGCGCGGCCCACCUGGACACCGGUGGGGGCUGCGCAGGCCAGAGGGCUUCGCCACCUGGAGCUGCGGGUUGAGCCAGUAGGAAAAGAAAACCUCCGCCCUCACCCUUGUGCCAAGUCAAGUCAGGGAGUUUGCAGGGACCACGGAAGGAUUGAUGCACACCCUGCUCAAUUGAUUCAAGUUCCUGCCCUGAACCUCAUCUAGUGAGAACCAAUGUGCUAGCUGAGGCAAGAUCUGACCCUACCACCACAAAGUUUAGCAUGUCAUUGUGGCUUUUCUCUAACAAGAAUUGAGAAGUGGCAAAUGUUUCUCUUGUUUUUCUCUGGUGACAUCCACACAUUCUGUGUUUGCGUGUGCCAGGGCUUCACAAUCCACAACAAGAAAACUCUAAAUUUAGAUACUCCCUGAAGAAAAACAGAGGCCAAGUUUAACCUGGCUGGAUGGACCUGGGGUAGAGAACAGACAUCAGAAAUGUCUCCUGCGAGAAAAUCCUCUCCUGUGGUUGCUUCCUACUUCUUUUGGCCUUGAUUGAGUUACUUCCACUCUUUGACCAAGAAGUUUCUCCAACUGUGAAAUGAGGAGUCUGUACCAGCUAUAAACUUUUUUGAUGGUUCAUCCGUAGCCUUUUAAACAACAUUUUAACACAUAUCCUCAAUAUAUGUAUCCUCUUUGUCUUUCAUUUACAAAGAGUAAAAUUUAUUCUGUGUGUGUGUGUGUAGUUCUCUGAGCUUUAACACAUAUAUAAAUUUGUGCAAGCACCACCCCAAUCAGUAUACAGAACAGUUCCAUCACCGCCCAACACUCCCUUGUGCUACCUGCUUGUAGUGAAACUCUGCCCCCCACACCUAACCUCUGGCAACCACUGAUUAGUUCUUCAUCCCUGUAGUGUCACCUUUUCCAGAAUGUCUUAAUAAAUGGAAUCAUACAGUAUGUAGCCUUUUGAGACUGGCUACUUUCACUCAGCAGAAGGUCUUUGAGCUUCUUUCUCUGUUGUUGAGUGUAUCAAUAAUUUGUUCUUUUUUAUUGCCAAGUAGUGAUUCACUGAAUGAAUGUCCUACAGUUUACUUAGUAACCCACUCAUUGAGGGGCAUUUAAUGUGCUUCCAGUUUUGGGUGAUUACGAAUAUAGCUGCAGUAGAGCUGAUUAUUUAGCUUAGUUGAUUAGAGCAUGGUGCUGAUAACACCAAGGUCAAGAGUUUGGAUCCGUGUACUGGCCAG
This is a long non-coding RNA of Galeopterus variegatus (Sunda flying lemur), 1495 nucleotides long. RefSeq lists it as uncharacterized. NCBI's taxonomy places the organism in Eukaryota, Metazoa, Chordata, Mammalia, Dermoptera, Cynocephalidae. The transcript has 3 exons. The record is from RefSeq and is a predicted model, not a curated record.